UUGAAGAGGUGGCUAAAAAAAGGAUGAUCAUGCAGUGGGAAGAGUUGACUUUGAUUUUCAUUCGAAUUUUUCUUGUAGGCACUUUUAGUGUCUAAUUUCGGCCCGAAAAUUUCGUUCAAGAUCGUGGACAGCCUUCGGGAAGAUAUACUAGCGGGGAAGCUGAAGUCUGGAAGUGAGAUAAAGGAGGCUUUGAAGACGAGCGUGCUCCAUUUGUUGACAAGCAAGGGCAAUAAGACAGAGCUUCAGCUGGGAUUUAGAAAACCUGCAGUGAUUAUGAUUGUUGGUGUUAAUGGAGGGGGAAAGACAACGUCUCUUGGUAAUCAUUUUGAUCUUGUAUGUUCACUUGCACAUUUUCCGUUUAUGCUUUCACCUUAAAGAAAGUAGCGGAGUGUAUUCUUUUCAUCCUUAGGCUAGGUACUUUACCCAAGUUACUCAGGUUUAUUUUUUGUGUAGGAUUUACUUGUAAGAUGUAACAGUGAUCGCAAAAUCUUUUUAGCAAAGUUCUUCUCAACUCAUCUAUUUGUGUUUGAAUUUUGGAGUUAAUUCUACCUCUCAUUAUGCUCCUGUAUUGAUUGCAACUAGACAUGUAAUUCAUGUAUAGAGAUGAAUUGGUUGCUGAUUGAUAAGGCAA
This is a long non-coding RNA of Zingiber officinale, 631 nucleotides long. RefSeq lists it as uncharacterized. The record is from RefSeq and is a predicted model, not a curated record. The transcript is spliced from 3 exons. NCBI's taxonomy places the organism in Eukaryota, Viridiplantae, Streptophyta, Magnoliopsida, Zingiberales, Zingiberaceae.